Molecule: long non-coding RNA, 9904 nt
Filed under: Vitis vinifera (wine grape)
Lineage: Eukaryota; Viridiplantae; Streptophyta; Magnoliopsida; Vitales; Vitaceae
Description: long non-coding RNA (VVIN_LNC004385)
Source: RNAcentral
UAGCUUUUUAUUUAUUUAUUUAAGUUUAUAUAAUUAAUUAAAAUAUUUUUAAAAUAUAAGAAUUAAAAAUCAUCACUCUCUUAUUCACCAAAUAAAAACAAAUUUUAAAAUAAUAAAAAUAAAUAAUAAUCUCUCUUAUUCAUCACUGAUCAUUAAAGAACAACAAAUAGAUAUGUAUCAUCAAUACCUAUAAUCUACCACCUCAAUUCAUAAAAUCCCCAACCCAAAAAAAAAAAAUUUAAUGCUUGAAGAGAGCCAUUGCAGCCAAGACGAGCGACGACAACAUCACAGCGCCGGAGAGGCCGGACGAAUGCGCCGAUCCGGCAUCCAUUCCCGGUGCCGGUGCUGGUGCUCCAGAGAAAUCCUGAGCAGAAACGGUGGCGGAAGCGAAGAUUGCGGCCACAAUGAAGGCGACGGCGAUGGCAUUGAAUGUGAUUGCUUGAGCCAUUGUGAGAAAUCGAGAGGCUAAGAGCAAAGGAAAUUGAUUUGAUAUCGGAGAAAGGCGGAGUGAUUGAUGGAAUGAGAGGGUGGAGGUGGUGAAUUUAUAGGGGUUUGGGAGAAGGCGUGUGGGACCAGAUCAAUUGAGUAGAGCGACAGGAAGCUGCGGGUCGUGGACUUCGUCCGUGUGUAAGGUAGGCGGUUGCUGACUCUUGCCUUCAAAGAAAACUCCCCUGCUAAAUUUGAAGUUCUUAUUCUAUAAGAAAUCCAUAAAAAUAAUUGUUGAAAAUUUUAUGCAACUUUUAAAUGUAUUUAAUAGUCUUUUUUGCCCCUUAAAUUUAGGCUAAGGGAAAAAAUACAUCAAAAUAAAAAUAAAUAAAUAAAUACAUAUAUAUUUAAAAUCAAUAAAUUAUUUUUAUAUAUAUUUCUUCAAAUUUAUUUUAUUAAUUUUUCUCAAGAUUAAAUAAUUUAAAAAUAUAUAAAAUUUUAAUUAAUUGUAAUUAUAUUUAUUUUCUUAUAAUGAAAUUGAAUAUGAAUAUAAGAAAAUCACUUUUUUUUGUAAAAAAAAAAAAAAAAAAUCUACUUCAUGAUAUUUUUAGAACAGGAGUCUGAUUAAAAAUUUAAAUAUUCUCAAUUCAUUUAUUAUAUUUUCAAAAAAAAUUUAAAAAUAAUUUUUAUUUAUACUUCUUUAUUUUCAAUUAAUAUUCAAAUUUAUAUAAUUAUUCUUUGAUUUUAGGACAAUAAAUAUGUUAAAUAUGUCAAAAAAAAAUUUAUUAGAUAUGUUUUUUAGUCUGAAAAAUAACUUUUUGUUUUUACAAACAAUUGUUAAUAAUAUAAUUUCACAUGUUAUGAUUAAUAUCAUAAAAAAAUUAUUGUUAUGUUCUAUUGUAUAAAACCACAUUGAGUAUUUUUAACCAUUUUUUAUUUUACAAAAUAAAGACUUUAUAUAGAAAGUUAAAAAAAUAUAUAUCUGUGGACCCUGCAUUUCGACUCAUGCGUUUCCCACUCGAUGGCAAACUCGAUUUUAAUUUUGAAAAUUUUGAUUUUAUUGAUUAUGAAAAUGACUCGGAGUCGCCACUUAUUUUUGUUUUAUUUUUAAAAGGGUAAACAAAAUAAGAAAGAAAAACCAUAAGUGUGACUCCUUACUUUGGAAAAGGUGGUCUGUGAAAAACCGGAUCGGGUUCGAGGGUCAGGUUACUUGGAAGGUACGGUAAAAACCGUAGCACCCUUCUAAGUCCCUAAAAUGGGGUCUCUACUAAUAAAAUGAAGCAAUCAUGGCAGUGGACGAGUAGAUCAAUGAGUACCCAGAAUAAAUCAUGCACACGUGAGAAUCAAAAUAUGCUUGGACAAUUACCAGAGUGAAAGUAGGUGAGUACCUGGGCGACGAGCCACCAUGCGCUAUCAAGAGAGAGGUUAGUGCACAAUUAAGAAAUAAUAGCAUGCAUGUCGGAGAGCAGGAUAAAUAAAUCAUGUAUGAUAACCAAGUCAAUCAAUCAAAUCAAUCAAUAGAUCAUAAGAAAAUCACAUAUGUUGGGCCCCCACCAAAGCCCGAUUGAUCUUGCAUGAAUUAAUCUCACAAAUUCCAUUAUUUUGGAAUUAUGAAAAUUCAUUAUUCUUGCUUAUGUAAAACCAAGAAAAACAUAAGGUUUGAGAAUCGGAGUAGAAUUAAAAUUGUUCAAGUGAAAAUUGGAUUUUUGGAAUUUAUUUGAAAAUUGGAGCUUUGGGAAUUAAAUUUGAAAAUUGGAAUUUUGGGAAUUAAAUUUAAGAAUUGGAAUUUUGAAUAUUAAAUUAGAAAGAAAUUAGAAUUUUGGAAAUCGGAAAUUAAGUUUGGAAAUUGGAAUUUUGAAAAAAAUGUUAAAAAUAUGAAAUUUUAAAAUAAAUAAAUAAAUGGAAUAAUAAUAAUAAGGACGAAAAUAAUGAUUAAAUAAAUGAAUGGAAAUAUUGGAAUUUUUGAAAUUGAAAAUUAAAUUCGAAAGCCGGAAUUUUGAAGAAUUUGUUUAAAGAUGGAAUUUUAAAAAUAAACAAAUAAAUAAAUGAAUAAAAUGACAAUGAUUAAAUAAACUGGUGUGAAAAUUAAAAAUUGGGAAUUUAAAUUUAAAUUUAGAAGAAAUUGGAGUUUAGGAAAAUUAUUUGAAGAUUAAAGUUUUUAAAAUUAAAUUUUGGCAUCAAAAGGUGAAGAAGAUAAUAAUAGUAAUAAAUAAAUAAAAUGACAUAUGGAUUUGGGUUAGUGAAAACCGGGCCUUUUUUCAUUUAUAUGACAUGUAACAUAUGGCUUUGGGUAAGUUUGAGAGUGUGAAUGCAACUUUAAUAAAGAAUCAAAGUCAAAAAAGUGAAUAGGUAACUUUGAAGAAAACUAAUAUUUUGUAUGGGAACUUACUGUACUCUUUAAUAUAAAUUAUGCAAUCUCCUGGGGGGCACUCACAGUAGGCUUCGCUUUCACUACUGCAGACUUGACUGCAGGGGGCACCAGCACAUCAACCUUGAUGGGUUGUUCUUCAGAUUUUCAAUUGCUCUCAACCCCAUUGAUGCCGCUGUCAAGUAAUAGCUCUCUGCUACCUUGCCGAGGAGGUUCCGUUGUUGCAUCUGGAAGUGAGCUAAUAGGUACGGGACCCCAUAGACUAACACAAAAGCUGUCCCAGUCAAUAUCUCCAUCAGGCGUGGUGCAAUUCGGCAUAUGAGCACUUCCUAAUGCUCGGUCACCUUUGGUGAGGACAUUCAGAGAAGCUCCAAUACCAACAUCGACCAUAACAUCAGUGGGAGUUGCAAGCAAUGACACCAUACUAACAAUCCGAAUAUUCUUCAAAUAUGAUUUUCAUUUCAUGGAUUACGGAAGACACAAAAUCCACAGGAAGGUCAUAAAGAACCUGCUCAAAGUUAUUGACGCCUUCUCAGUGCCUUUAACUUGUUGGCUUUCAACUUGUCCAAUAGGAAACAAGGCAAUAUCCCAAAGAUUCUGAUGUAGAGACCCCCCUCAAAGAACACCCCAAUCCAGACAGCCAAACUCAAACGAGAUGCCCAACACUCAAAGAAAGAAAGAGAACAGAAACAGAGGAAAAUAGAAUGAAGAAACAGAGCAUGCGGGAGAGAGGAUGAUGCCUUUAACUCCAAAACCUAUUUUAAUGAAGAUUAAGAAGCUUUCAAAAGAAGCUAGUGGGGGAUCCUAACACAUGAAUAAGUAGCGCAACCAUCAUACGGUACACUUAGAAGAAGAACAGAGAUUCGACAAGUAACCAUGAAAAGUGAGUUUAACAUCUUAGAUGAUCAAAGCAGGUAUUCGGAUAUCAGCAAAAAAAUAUAGCAAAACGGUAAUAAUGGAGAAACUUAAGACGUAAGAAUGCUAAACCUGCGUGAAUCCUCUCAAGCAGAAAUUUUUUCCCGAGUAAAAGAGUCCUUUCCCCUUUUUCAUCUGUCUCCCCCCUCCUCCAGCUCUCACUCUCCUUUUCUAUCUUCCACAGUAAGCCACUACCGGCUCCACUAUUGCUCCACUCAGCAAGUAUGACACCUCUUACCACCAGCAUGGCCGGCCAUCUUGACUCGCUGCCUCCACCAGCUCGUCUCAUGUGUCGGGAAGGGGUCCCCCAUUUGCCUAGGGUGCUGCCAGCUGCUGGAGAUGAGAAGGCACCCUUCCAAUGUUAUAAAAUCCUUACAAAAAAACUUAAAAGUCCCCGGCUCUUGAAAGGGGGUCUACAAUAUCACUAAAAACUUCAAAAUAGUUUAUUUUUGUGUUUGAAAGUGAUAUUUUUUUAACUUACAUCUUAAGCAACUUUUAAAAAAAUUACUUUUCAAGCUUAAAAAGAAUAUUUUCACUUAUUAAAAGUCAAUAUAAUUGGGUUAAGAAAACAAUCCUCCUAAGUUAGAAUUGUAUUUCUUUAAUUUAUGUAAAACAAUUAUAACCUUAAUUCCUGCAUUACAAUAAUAAUCCUAAUUCCUUAAUUAUGCAAAUAAGACCCUAAAUUUGCAUAAAUUAUAAUGGUCAAGGAUUUUAGAACAAUAUGAUUUUUCAUGGUCACAUUAUUAAGAAGAGACAUACCUUUUAUUCGUAGAAAUUGUGUUUCUAUCCAUCAACUCUUUCACCCUUAAGUUUUUUCUUACGUGUAUUAUUGAUAUAAUAGAACGUUUAUUUUAUAGGGAGGAGAGAGGACUAGUUUCAUUGUAAAAAUAGAAGUGCACUAUCCAUCAAAGUGUUUUUAAUUUAGGAAACUAACUUCUUAAAAACUUACCUAUAGAUUUUAGAUUUAUUAUUUAUUAAACUAUAAUAUUUAAUUUGAUAUUUAAAUAAAUAUUAUAUAAUAAUAUACACAUGUGCCAUAUAAAAUUCUUACAUAUUGUACUUAAGACUUUUUUGACUUACUUGUAACUUUUAUUAAAAUAUAUAUAUAUUUUUAAAUUCUAUUUAAAAAAAAAGUGAGUUUCUACUCACUCAUGUAAAAUAAAUUCUUUUAAAAAUAAUUUAAGUUUAAUGCAUUCACUAAUCAAAUGUAAUAAGUAAGAUGAUCAAAGGUAGUAUUUAUAUUAUUAAAAAGUAGUACAUGAAUGGUUGUAUUUUUGACAAAAAAGUAUAUGAAAUACUAAUUAUUUUUAGACAUGUGCUUAAAAUUUGUAUUUUAUAAACUUGAAUUCUUAUUUUGUAGUUUUUUUUUCAUAUGGAUGUAUUUGAAUAUUGUAUCAAAAAAUUUAAAAUAAAUCUAAUUAAGAGAGUUAUAAUAUCAUAAUUAUGAAACAAAACUAAUUUAAUUAAGCAAAACACAAGAAGUGAUUAAUUGAAUUCUAAACUUUUUUCGAAAAAUACAUUUGAUUAAAUAACUAAUAGUUAAUGAAUAUAAAAAGAUAAGGCUAGAGAGAUGAAAAUUUGGUUUAGUGGUUUGGUGACUCCCAUCUACAUCCACUUCUCUUUAACCUCAUUCCAAGUAAGGGUUCCACUAUAUCGAGGUUUCAACCAAAGUCUUUAAGUUUACACUUGGAUUCAAUGGCUCAAAUGGGCACAUACAAAUCUUCUUAGAGUUCAACACCAACUUGAAGUUUCACACUCAAAUUUACUAAAAAAAUGGGAGUUUAAAGAGCAUUCAACCUAACACAAUAAAUGCUUGAAUACAUGAGAAGUUAGGAUGAAUACACAUGGGGCGCACUAAAAAUGAAUUUGCAAGUGAAAUAUUUGAUACACUAAAGAAAAAGAGAGCUUUGAGUGAGAGAAACAAGUAGGUAGAGAGAGUUUAAUGCAAAUAUAAGUUUUUUAUUUAUAAGUUUGCAACCUUAGAUACCUCAAAUAUAACUGACUAGCCUUUUUUGGUCAAGCUCCAAUUUGACUAUUUGACUAGUCGUUCAAUAAUUAAUGCACAACAGGUAAUCAUUAGUCCUUUGUAAGGUUUUAUUAGACCUUGACUGGGAAAAGGGUUGCCUUGAUCAUGAAUGCAGGCUUUCUAGAAGAGAGAGAAAGUUUUUCAUACCCUUAAUCGACCCUCAAUUGAGAAAGGUUCAAUGGAUUCCUAAUUAGUUGAACCGGUGUAGGACUUCCUUGAUCGAUUAGAUCAUUUUUGGCUUGAAACCUAUAUAUCUUUCUGAAAUCAUUUUAACACCUAGGCAACAUUUUUAGGUACCUCUAUAGGUUAAUUUGGGAUCAAUUUGCAUAAUGUUUUUGAAAACAUACUCAAAUUUUGAUAAAAUAUGAUAUUUAAAGCUUAAUUUCAAGAAAACCGAUUAUGAAAAUUAUGCAUGAAUAAGCUAAAAUCCCAAUUGAAACCAAGAUACUCAUUUUACAAUAAGUUCCUAAUCUUGAAUGACCUUUAUGAAUGAUUGACUUCUCUUUUCUUAGUUUCUUUCAAAGUAUUCGUGUCAUUUCUUUUGCUUUUCUCAAAUAAUACUUGAAACUUAACUUGAUUUAAACUAUUAACGUGCUUAACUAUGAUUUUAUAUUAUCAAGACAUACUUAAUGAGAACCCUUAAACUAACAAUAGCAACCCACAAUAUGUAACAUAAAUUAUAAUGCAAGAACAAUAAAAUAACAAGAGUUUCUUUGAUAAUAUUAAACAUCUUUUAGAAGUAUUCUUAAAAAUAGUUUUAUUUAUUUUAAGAAUGAAACUUUGUUUUACAACUAUACUGUAAAAAACAUUCCAAAAUUUAUGUAUAAUUUUAUUUUAUUUAAAAUAAUCUACAUUGUCUUGAAAAAUUAUUUUCACUUCAAAACUUGUUAAACAUGUUUUUGAAUUUAAAAAGCGAUUUUAUGUUCUAAAAAACUGUUUUUAAAAAAUAGUUUCAAAACGAGUCAAAGGCUUGUUUAACAAUACUUUUUCCUAAGUGGAUCAUUUAUGUAAAAUGGCAAAAUAUUAUGUUUUACAUGUCACAAAUUUAUUGAGUAUAAGUAUUGGAACCUAAACCAAUAAUAUUUCCAUUCAAGUAUAAUUUGCUUGCUUUAUUUUAAGAGUAAUUUGAUAUUACAUAAGUUUUCUUAAAUAUGAAAAAAUAGCUUUUUCUAUGAGUUAAAAUGAAGUUAUUUUAUAAAUAUUUGACUUUUAUAUUAAGUUGUUUGAAGUAAUAGAUUGAAAAAAAAAAAAGUUAAAACAAUAGUGUCCUAAGCAAUUUGGACGAGUUGACCUAACUCAACUGAUAUUUUGAUGGGUUUGAACAAAUAUUUUUAAUACUCAAAUUAAACUUAAUUAAGUUUUCUCAACUCAAGUUCAAUUUGGGUUAGACUUGAGUUAAGGUCGAAAUAACUCAAGUCUAAUCCAAACCCCAUUUAAUGUUUUUAUAAUGUUUAUGUCAUACAUAAUAACAUUCAUUUUAUUUUUAAUUUUUUUAAAAUAUCAAAUUCUAAUUAUAUUAUAUACUUUUUCAUUUUUAGAAAGAUAUAUAAUUUUAUUUUUAUUUUUUUAUUAUUAUCUUGAAUUUUCCUCUUAUUUACUAUUUAAAUUUUAGUAUAAAUAUAUAAGUUUUGUUUUUUCUUUCAAACAUAAAUUUGUUUUUGAAAAUAGUUGUCAAACCGACUUUCUAUUUUCAUUUUUUUAAAAUAAUAAAGCAAAAACAAAAUUAUGUUUUCGUUUUCAAAAAGCACCUUGGGUAUAAAUAUAAAAGGGUAUAACAUUCCUUAUUCUUCUUCGUUAACUAAUAUUUGGUUUUAGAAUCCUUAUUCUUAUUUGUUAACUAAUAUUUGGUCAUAGAAAAGUUCACAAUUCAUGUCAUACAACUUUCUCAAAUUGGUGAAUUUUCAAUGUAUAAUAGAUGGUGAAAUGUAAUAUGUUCUUUGACAUAUCCUCUUUGAGAUAUCGAAAGUUGGAAAUCAAUGGCAUGUUUUGAAAGUGUUUUUUAAUUUAAAAAUAUAUAUUUGGAUAUGCUUUUCGAAAAUAUGUUUUUGAAAAGAAAUAUUCGAAAAUAUGAAUAUUUUGAAAACAGAACACUAUUUUUUUCAAAAAUCAGUCAACAAAUCCAUUGUUGAUAUUCAACUAUUUAAGUUUCUAAAAUAUAAUUUUAUUCCUAUUUUUUAGGAAUUGUUUUAAGAAAAAAUUUGGUAAUUUAUUCUAAAAAUGAAUUAUUUUUCAAAAUAAGUUUAAAAUAUUUCAAAUGUUUUAAAGAAAAUACUUUGUAAAAUUAUUUAAAAGAAAAAUACUUUGUGAACACGUUUGGCCAUGAUAAGUUGAGAAAGUAGCUUUUUUUAUUUUUUACUUAAGUUUAUAUAAUUAAUUAAAAUAUUUUUAAAAUAGAGAAUUAAAAAUCAUCACUCUUUUAUUCACCAAAUAAAAACAGAAUUUAAAAUAAUAAAAAUAAAUAACAAUAUCUCUUAUUCAUGACUGAUCAUCAUAAAUAAAGAACAACAAAUAGAUAUGUCUCAUCAAUACCUAUAAUCUACCACCUCGAUUCAUAAAAUCCCAACCCAAAUGAAAAAAUUCUAAUGCUUGAAGAGAGCCAUUGCAGCCAAGACCAGCGACGACAACAUCACAGCGCCGGAGAGGCCGGACGAAUGCGCCGAUCCUGCAUCCAUUCCCGGUGCCGGUGCUGGUGCUCCAGCGAAAUCCUGAGCAGAAACGGUGGCGGAAGCGAAGAUUGCGGCCACAAUGAAGGCGACGGCGAUGGCAUUGAAUGUGAUUGCUUGAGCCAUUGUGAGAAAUCGAGAGGCUAAGAGCAAAGGAAAUUGAUUUGAAAUCGGAGAAAGGCGGAGUGAUUGAUGGAAUGAGAGGGUGGAGGUGGUGAAUUUAUAGGGGUUUGGGAGAAGGCGUGUGGGACCAGAUCAAUUGAGUAGAGCGACAGGAAGCUGCGGGUCGUGGACUUCGUCCGUGUGUAAGGUAGGCGGUUGCUGGCUCUUGCCUUCAAAGAAAACUCACCUGCUAAAUUUGAAAUUCUUAUUCUAUAAGAAAUCCAUAAAAAUAAUUGUUGAAAAUUUUAUGCAACUUUUAAUAGUCUUCUUUCCCCACCCCCGCCCCGCCACCACCGCGGGGAAAAAAUACAUCAAAAGAAUAAAUAAAUAAAUAUUUAAAAUUAAUAAAUUAUAUAUAUAUAUAUAUAUAUAUAUAUAUAUAUAUAUAUAUAUAUAUAUAUAUAUAUAUAUAUUUCUUUAAAUUUAUUUUAUUAAUUUUAUUUAGAAGAUUAAAUAAUUUAAAAACAUAUAAAUUUUUAAUGAAUUGUAAUUAUAUUUGUUUUCUUCAUAUUUCUUAUAAUGAAAUUGAAUAUGAAUAUAAGAAAUCAUUUUUUGUAAAAAAGAAAAAUUUCUACUUAGUGAUAUUUUUAGAAAUUAAAAAUAUGAAUAUUCUCAAUCCAUUUUUUAUAUUUUCAAAACAAAAAAUAUUCAUACUUAUUUAUUUUCAAUUAUUAUUCAAAUUUAUAUAAUUAAUCUUUGAUUUCAGGACAAUAAAUAUGUUAAAUAUGUCAAAAAAAUUAUUAAAUAUGUUUUUGAGUUUGAAAAAUAACUUUUUGUUUUUACAAACAAUUGUGAAACAAACUCUAGAUUUUCAUUUAAUAAUAUAAUUUCACGAGUUAUAAUUAAUAUUAUAAAAAAAUUAUUGUUAUGUUUUAUUGUAUAAAACCAUAUUGAGUAUUUUUAACCAUCAUUUUAUUUUACAUAAAAAACUUCAAAAUAUUUUAUUUUUAUGUGUUGAAAGUGAUAUUUUUUUUAACUUACAUUUUAAGCAACUUUUAAAUUAAAAGUUUCUUUUAAUAAAAUUACUUUUCAAGCAUAAAAGGAAAAUUUUCACUUAUUAAAAGUCAAUAUAAAUGGGUUAAGAAAACAAUCCUCCUAAGUUAGAAUUGUCGUGUUAGGAUUUCUUUACUUUAUGCUAAACAAUUAUAACCUUAAUUCCUACAUAACAAUCAUAACCCUAAUUCCUUAAUCAUGCAAAUAAAACCCUAAUUUUGCAUAAAUUAUAAUGGUCAAGGAUUUUAGAACAAUAUGAUUUUUCACAAUCACAUUAUUAAGAAAAGACAUACCUUUUAAUUCGUAGAAACUGUGUUUUUGUCCCUCAACUGUUUCACCCUUAAGUUUUCU